This 40-nucleotide small RNA is filed under the name Arabidopsis thaliana (thale cress). RNAcentral describes it as "ATSL117020". Lineage: Eukaryota; Viridiplantae; Streptophyta; Magnoliopsida; Brassicales; Brassicaceae. The record is from RNAcentral.
AUUCUACUAUAUUAUUUGGGAAGUACAUUUUAAAUAUAAU